This is a long non-coding RNA of Sinocyclocheilus rhinocerous, 293 nucleotides long. RefSeq lists it as uncharacterized. The transcript is spliced from 3 exons. Lineage: Eukaryota; Metazoa; Chordata; Actinopteri; Cypriniformes; Cyprinidae. The record is from RefSeq and is a predicted model, not a curated record.
CUGGUCCGGAUGCAAAGAAGGCAGCUGAUUGGCUGUUCACAGCUGAUGUCAACAAAGCUCCAGGGUCCACAGUCUACACCUGCAUGUUAAACAAGAGGGGCGGGGUCGAGUCUGACCUCACUGUCAGUCGUCUGGAGCCAAGCCCUGCCCACCACCCACUGACACCCGAAUCUAAUGGUGAGGCGUAUUACCUGGCCAUCGGAGGUGGUGUGGCGCAGCAUAACUGGAGCCACAUUCAGGCAGUGCUGCAGGACCAGGGUUUCCGCUGCACAUUAAUAGAUCACACUGAGGAC